RNAcentral lists this ribosomal RNA (305 nucleotides) under uncultured bacterium. Its description in RNAcentral is "bacterial SSU rRNA". It matches the Rfam family "Bacterial small subunit ribosomal RNA", at positions 333 to 654 of the family's 1533-position model. The record is from RNAcentral.
ACGACCCUACGGGGCGCAGCAGUGGGGGAUAUUGCACAAUGGGGGAAACCCUGAUGCAGCGACGCCGCGUGAGUGAAGAAGUAUUUCGGUACGUAAAGCUCUAUCAGCAGGGAAGAAAAAUGACGGUACCUGACUAAGAAGCUCCGGCUAAAUACGUGCCAGCAGCCGCGGUAAUACGUAUGGAGCAAGCGUUAUCCGGAUUUACUGGGUGUAAAGGGAGCGCAGACGGCAGGGCAAGUCUGAUGUGAAAGUCCGGGGCUCAACCCCGGGACUGCAUUGGAAACUGUAUGGCUGGAGUGCAGGAG